GUGAGGAAUAUUGGUCAAUGGGCGGAAGCCUGAACCAGCCAAGUAGCGUGCAGGAUGACGGCCCUAUGGGUUGUAAACUGCUUUUAUACGGGGAUAAAGUGCGCCACGUGUGGAGCAUUGCAGGUACCGUAUGAAUAAGGACCGGCUAAUUCCGUGCCAGCAGCCGCGGUAAUACGGAAGGUCCGGGCGUUAUCCGGAUUUAUUGGGUUUAAAGGGAGCGCAGGCCGGAAGCAAAGCGUGCCGUGAAAUGUAGAUGCUCAACAUCUGAAUUGCGGCGCGAACUGGUUUUCUUGAGUGCAUACGAGGUAGGCGGAAUUUGUGGUGUAGCGGUGAAAUGCUUAGAUAUCACGAAGAACUCCGAUUGCGAAGGCAGCCUACCAGGAUGUAACUGACGCUAAAGCUCGAAAGUGCGGGUAUCGAACAGGAUUAGAUACCCUUGUAGUCC
This 445-nucleotide ribosomal RNA is filed under the name uncultured bacterium. Its description in RNAcentral is "partial 16S ribosomal RNA". It matches the Rfam family "Bacterial small subunit ribosomal RNA", at positions 354 to 796 of the family's 1533-position model. The record is from RNAcentral.